Molecule: ribosomal RNA, 1444 nt
Filed under: Lactiplantibacillus plantarum
Lineage: Bacteria; Bacillati; Bacillota; Bacilli; Lactobacillales; Lactobacillaceae
Description: bacterial SSU rRNA
Rfam family: Bacterial small subunit ribosomal RNA
Source: RNAcentral
CUCUGGUAUUGAUUGGUGCUUGCAUCAUGAUUUACAUUUGAGUGAGUGGCGAACUGGUGAGUAACACGUGGGAAACCUGCCCAGAAGCGGGGGAUAACACCUGGAAACAGAUGCUAAUACCGCAUAACAACUUGGACCGCAUGGUCCGAGCUUGAAAGAUGGCUUCGGCUAUCACUUUUGGAUGGUCCCGCGGCGUAUUAGCUAGAUGGUGGGGUAACGGCUCACCAUGGCAAUGAUACGUAGCCGACCUGAGAGGGUAAUCGGCCACAUUGGGACUGAGACACGGCCCAAACUCCUACGGGAGGCAGCAGUAGGGAAUCUUCCACAAUGGACGAAAGUCUGAUGGAGCAACGCCGCGUGAGUGAAGAAGGGUUUCGGCUCGUAAAACUCUGUUGUUAAAGAAGAACAUAUCUGAGAGUAACUGUUCAGGUAUUGACGGUAUUUAACCAGAAAGCCACGGCUAACUACGUGCCAGCAGCCGCGGUAAUACGUAGGUGGCAAGCGUUGUCCGGAUUUAUUGGGCGUAAAGCGAGCGCAGGCGGUUUUUUAAGUCUGAUGUGAAAGCCUUCGGCUCAACCGAAGAAGUGCAUCGGAAACUGGGAAACUUGAGUGCAGAAGAGGACAGUGGAACUCCAUGUGUAGCGGUGAAAUGCGUAGAUAUAUGGAAGAACACCAGUGGCGAAGGCGGCUGUCUGGUCUGUAACUGACGCUGAGGCUCGAAAGUAUGGGUAGCAAACAGGAUUAGAUACCCUGGUAGUCCAUACCGUAAACGAUGAAUGCUAAGUGUUGGAGGGUUUCCGCCCUUCAGUGCUGCAGCUAACGCAUUAAGCAUUCCGCCUGGGGAGUACGGCCGCAAGGCUGAAACUCAAAGGAAUUGACGGGGGCCCGCACAAGCGGUGGAGCAUGUGGUUUAAUUCGAAGCUACGCGAAGAACCUUACCAGGUCUUGACAUACUAUGCAAAUCUAAGAGAUUAGACGUUCCCUUCGGGGACAUGGAUACAGGUGGUGCAUGGUUGUCGUCAGCUCGUGUCGUGAGAUGUUGGGUUAAGUCCCGCAACGAGCGCAACCCUUAUUAUCAGUUGCCAGCAUUAAGUUGGGCACUCUGGUGAGACUGCCGGUGACAAACCGGAGGAAGGUGGGGAUGACGUCAAAUCAUCAUGCCCCUUAUGACCUGGGCUACACACGUGCUACAAUGGAUGGUACAACGAGUUGCGAACUCGCGAGAGUAAGCUAAUCUCUUAAAGCCAUUCUCAGUUCGGAUUGUAGGCUGCAACUCGCCUACAUGAAGUCGGAAUCGCUAGUAAUCGCGGAUCAGCAUGCCGCGGUGAAUACGUUCCCGGGCCUUGUACACACCGCCCGUCACACCAUGAGAGUUUGUAACACCCAAAGUCGGUGGGGUAACCUUUUAGGAACCAGCCGCCUAAGGUGGGACAGAUGAUUAGGG